UGUGCAGACAGGACCUGGAAAGCAGGAAGAGGCAGGUGUCCUGUGACAGAGGGUAGGUGAUAUAUUCUGGGAAAUAUAGGGACUGCCAUCCCAGUGAAAUUCCAGAGCAGAGUUUAAUAAUAUAGGGGAAUAAAGGUCAAGUUCUUCAUCUUGAGCUCCCUAUCUCUAAGAAUGAGGCAUGGGGCACCUGGGUGGCUCAGUUGGUUUAGUGUCUGCCUUUGGCUCAGGUCAUGAUCUCAGGGUCCUAGGAUAGAGCCCCCCUCCCUGUUGGGCUCCCUGCUCAGUGGGGAAUCUGCUUCUCCCUCUCCCUCUGCCCCCCCAACUUAUGCUCUCUCUCUCUCUCAAAUAAAUAAUUAAAAAAAAAGGAUGGGGCACAAUGUUUGAUGAGUUUCUUUGGAUUUUGGAGCCAAUAUGUAUCAUAUUUAGGUAACCUGCUUUAUUAGGAAACCUGAAAAGUGGCCUGUGGCCCCAUGGGGGUUGUGUAUUUGUGUGUGUGUGUGUGUGUGUGUGUGUGUGUAUGUAUAUAUAUACAUACAUAUGUAUAUAUUUUUCCUUUUUUUGCCAUGUUUACAACAGGCUUUUCUACACCUGACUGGAGGACAUGUCUUCUUGUGUGCACAUGGAAAUGGCAAAUGAGCAUGAGUAGGGAUUGUGUCAGAGUGGCCUAAAAGGCAGUAUGCCUACCUAUCUCUAUGAGUAACUUAUGAGUCAGGCUUCUGGAAGAACUGUGUGCUUCCGGCAGAGGCUAUCGGCCACGAUGGAACGUUUUAUGGAUAUGCCUCCACCACAAGCUAUCACCAUACGCGGCUUUACUAGAUCACUGCAUACUAUCGGAGGACAUCUGAGGUCAAGAGAGAGAGACAGCACAAGCAGAGGGAGAAGCAGGCUCUCCGCUGAGCAGGGAACCCGACUCCAGACUCGAUCCUAGCACGCGGGGAUCAUGACCUGAGCCGAAGCCAGACGCUUAAUCGAUGGAGCCACCCAGGCAUCCUGAGAAAUAAAUUCUUUCGAAGAGUGUGUUAUCCAUAUAGAGAGAAAAGAUAUGGAACCCAGACUAAUUGAAUAACUUAUAAAAGAUGUCCUUUGGCAGAAUGCAGUGAUGGAUAUGGGCAACAGGGGCUGUCUGUGUUUAAGAUGGGUCCCAGAGGGUUGGAGCAGUCAGAAAAGGCUUGAAAGGAUUGAGAAGAUUGAAAUGAGAGCGGAAAGCUUUCAACCAAGGCUAGGAGACAAGUGCGUUUAUCCUUGGUGACGAUAUCAACGAGCUUACCGGGAGUAGGUGUGGGACUGAAGUCUGAAGGAGUAUCAAAGGGUGAGGUCCUUGCAUGCCAGGCCAUGGGGGGCAGACUCGCGGCGAA
Molecule: long non-coding RNA, 1355 nt
Organism: Ailuropoda melanoleuca (giant panda)
Lineage: Eukaryota; Metazoa; Chordata; Mammalia; Carnivora; Ursidae
Exons: 3
Source: RefSeq, a predicted model, not a curated record